Long non-coding RNA from Artibeus jamaicensis (Jamaican fruit-eating bat), 4710 nucleotides. RefSeq lists it as uncharacterized. NCBI's taxonomy places the organism in Eukaryota, Metazoa, Chordata, Mammalia, Chiroptera, Phyllostomidae. The transcript is spliced from 7 exons. The record is from RefSeq and is a predicted model, not a curated record.
ACACUGGCAGAAUGAUAUUUGUAAUCCAUUGGCUGAUUUUCCCACUCUGGCAGCUCCUAUUGCUCUGCCCCACCCCCGUCCCCCAAACCCAUUCAGUCAUCGCUUGUAUCAGGGGACAAAAGAGUUUCACCAGAGAACAGAAAAAAGAUUUUUGGAUGUCAAAAGUCAAACCUUUUUGUAGGUUUAGCAUAGAAACUGUAAGCCUCUGCUUUAGGCCCAGGGGGAACAAAUUCACAGAAGAUAAUGAGUCUCAGACUCUUCCUUGCUUAUGAGCAAGAAGUCCCUGGAUCUAAGAGAGAAAGAGAGAGGAAGAGAGGAAAGGAGAGAGAGAAACAUUGAUGUGAGAAACAUUGAUGUGAGAGAGAAACAUUAAUGGGUUGCCUUCUGUAUGCACCUGGACCUGGGAUCACACAUGAUGGACCAGGGCUUGAACCCACAACCCAGUAAAGCUGGCAGCAGGAGUUCCUGGGGUUUGUACCUGGUGCAGGAGGUGACUGGCUCCUUCUGACCCCAGCAUUCGGACGGUGAAGAGAGCGAGACCAAGGCCGAGGCCGAGAGAGAGGCUACGGAGCUGUGCUUCUUCACGCGUGGAUGGCUGGACAGAUCAUGAACUGGAGCCAUGUGGAGAGGAGACAAGGUUGGAACUCACUCCGGAUCCUCUUCUGGGUUUCUUCCAGAUGACCCCCAAUCACCCAUCUGGUCUCAGUCAUCAGAACUCAUUGUCCAGGUCUAAGAAGAGAAACAGACUCUACCUCAUUAGGGGAAAGUAGCAAGUUCUGCAGGAAUGUGUGGAACUGGAAAUAUGAACACAGCCAUUUUGGGAAAAUAUAACCUGGCACAGUAAGGCAUCUUGCUUUCGAAGUGCACCGCAUGCCUGCAGAGCAAAUACAGAAAUUUGGCUAGAUCCUCUCAUCUGCACAGCUGAAUAUUUUUCAUUACUAAAAAGAAACUGCAAAAAAAAAGAAACUUAAGCUACCAUGGACAAGCCUAUUGCUUUUGUCUGAGUCUGGCUAUCUCAUGAAUUUCUGGAGGUGGAGAGCUGAAACGAAAGGCCUAUGCACUAAACUGCCUUCCACACGAACAGUAAAUUUUCACCUGGAGUCUACAAACUGCAAGAAUCGCCAAGAACCUGUUAUUUCUAUGUGCCUCUGUUUUUUUUUUAACUAAUUUUAGCACAUGGCAAACACCACAUUCUAGGUUAUUGUCUUCCAUUUCAGUGAGGUGAGGAAGGUGUGGGCUGAGAGGAUCUGGCAGCCUCUGCUCCUGCCGCCUGCUACCCUGAGGUGCUGGAAGAAUUACAGUUAGGCUGUCCCCCUUGCCUCGGACUGAGAUAUUUAUUGGCUCUUAAAGAUUAAUCCAAGUGCAACCUCUAAACCAGUAUAUGGUUUCACUCCUUUGUACUCCGGGGAGAGAGAAUGAUGAGAACUGUGAGAAGUGAAACUCCACAGAAUGUAAUCACUCCUCACCCCACCCCUGCAAACUUUUUAAGAAAUGGAAUUUAUCCUUUCUUUCCAAAUCAGGUCUCUGUUUUUAACCAGUUUUUCUCAGUGCUCUGUCAUGUGAAAAUACAUGAUAAAUGGAAACUAACAAGAUUACUUUAUCAACUACUAUUUCAUUCACUCAUUAUUAUGUUACGGAAGAUAUUGAAUAAGAUAUUAUACCUGCCCCCAAGAAACUUGCAAUCUCCUCUAGCUAUUGUAAGAAUGGAGCAUGGAGAAAAUGUCUUGCAUUUAAAAUAGGGAGUUUAAAGCAACAGGAAGAACAUACCAGAAAAAUCAGUGCUAAUAUUUCCCUAUUUUCUUAAUGAGAAAAAUCAACCUUAGAGAAAAAUCAACCUUAGAGAUGUUAAAUGACUUAGCUUGUUCAGAUAGAGAGUGGUGAAGUCAGAGCUGAAACUUCGAUUCUGGUUCCAAAGGUUGUGUAUUCUCCAUGUGGUUUCCAGACCUGACUGGUGGAAGUUUCUAGUCCCAUCUACUUAGCAAAUUGACAUCUUUUUAUGUGCCCCAGGCAUAUAGAAAUGCUAGAUAAUAUAUAACAAAACUAUUUUAUAGACAUAGUGAAGGGAGGAACAAAAUUCCCACAUGCCAAAAACUAAAGAACCCCUCUGCCCCUUGAGCAAUGUGGUUCAUGCAUGAGCUGAUGUCAAACAAAGCUGAGGGUAUCAGACCUGGCUAUAGGACCCAACAGCUGGGGGCUGGAGUUUUUAAGACAGAUCUAGAAUAAAAGACUUCUCCUUGGGGCUGUUAAAGGUGAAGAGUUGAAACAAAUUCAUUCAUAAAGCUUGAAGCAAGGAAGAGCUGCUCCCUCCAUAUAAGGGGGACUAUAAAACAUUACUUACUACAAACCACUGGUGAAAUUCUCACCAAAUAGGUAUCUGGAUAGGAAACAUCUCCACGAUAAAUGGAAACUUAAAAAUAUGUAUCAUGCAUAGAUAUAGAAUCCAAAUUUUAGAUUAUUUUCACAGCAUAGGACUCCCAAAUACAGAUGUUAAUAUAUUUAGAUACUGUAAAUAUUUCAGACCAGUGAAAUCCUGGAGUUCCCGGAGGAAUCAAAAGUGAGAAUCGUUUGAAGGGUUACUAGCCCAUCUUAAAGUACACAGGAAUUCCACAGGGAAAAUGUAUCCUAGCUGAAAGUGUGCUCACAAUUUAAAAGUACAAGUCAAAGAAAUGGUCCACAAAGUGGGAGAGUCCACAGACACACAUGAGAGGAAUAGCACCCCAACGGCCUGAGAUAACAUAACAAUUGAAAGCUACUUCUACGUUAAGUAUAUUUACAAACAUUAAGGAGUUCAAGAGAGAAAUAAAAACUUCAUAAAGAGGUACCAGUCAAGAUGGAGACGUAGGUAAACAUGCCUCGUCUGCCUGCACAACUCUAGCAAAAAAUACAGCUAUACUACAAAAGAAAUGCCACCCAGAAUCAUCAGAAAAUUGAGCUGUGUAGAACCCUGACCACCAGGGAAUUAAAAAAGUACUAUUUAUUCAGACAGGUAAAAGGGGCAGAGGCAUGGAGACGUGAAACAGGUAGUACCACACAUACAUGUGUGGUGGAUAAAAAUCAGGGAGGGAUAUCUUGGGAGCAAGAUAGCCCCCACCAGACCACCCAGCCCUGGGUUCCAGUGCCAGGAGGACAAGUCCCUAUAAUUUUGGCUGUAAAAACCAGUGAGGGUUGGGACAGCUGAGGAAAUUAUGGGAUUCUCAGGAGUCUCUUAAAGGGCUUGCAAUGGAUUUAGGACUUAUGCUGACUCACUCUCUCUGGGCUCCAGCACUGGGGCAGCAGCUGGAAGGGCACCAGUGGCAUAAGGAGGGAAUCUGAAGUGUCUGGCAUCAGGGUGAGCCAGGGCACAGUUUCCUUCCAGACAAACUCCAGAGGCCAGGCAGUAACCAUUGACUCUUUUCUGAGCCAUACCCCACACAGAGACACAGAGCAGAAACACCAUAUCUAAUUCAGACGUCAACCUAAUUAACACGGGUUGCCCUACCCUGGCAAUUACCUAAGGCUCCACUCCAUCCAACUUAUGGGUGCACUUUUCUACAUUAGGCCACAAAACUAAGGGAGUCAAAGCAGCACUAUCUAACACAGAGAAACAAACACAGAAAUGCUGCCAAAAUGAGGAGACAUAGAAAUAUGGCCCAAAUAAAGGAACAAAACAAAACCCCAGGAAAAGAACUAAACAAAAUAGAGAUAAGCAAUCUUUCAGAUACAGAGCUCAAAACACUGCAUGCUCAAGGCACUCACUGGGUACUUCAACAGCAUAAAAAAGUCUUGGGCCAAAAUAAAAGUUAUACUAAAUAAAGAAAAAAUUAUAGGGAAUCAAUGGUAAAGUGGAUGAAGCCAGGAAUCAAAUCAAUGAUACGGAGGAAGAAAAAGAAUAUUCAAUUAGAAUAACAAGAAAAAAAUGAAAAAAAAUAAGGAUAGUAUAGGCAGCCUCUGGGACAACUUCAAACAUACUCAUAUUUUAAUCACAGAGGUGCCUAAAGGAGAAGAGAAAGAGUGAGAAAUUGAAAACUUAUUUGAAAAAAUAAUGAAAGAAAUCUUCCCUGUUUGAUGAAGGAAAAUAUACAUACAAGUCUAGGAAGCAGGAAGAGUCCCAAACAAGAUGGACAGAAAGAGCACCACACCAAGGUGCAUCAUAAUUCAAAUGCCGAAGGUUAAAGAUAAAGACAGAAUCUUAAAAGGAGCAAGGGAAAAGCAGAGAGCUACCUAAAAGGAUUUCCCAUAAGAUUGUCAGCUGAUUUCUCAAAAGAAUCUUUGCAGGCAAGAAGGAACUGUCGAGAAGUAUUGAAAAUGAUGGAAAGCAAGCACCUACAACCUAGAUUACUCUAUCCAGCAAAGCUGUCAUUUAGAAUUGAAGGGCAGAUAAAGUGCUUCCAACCGAGGUAAAGUUAAAGGAGUUCAUCAUCAUCAAGCCAUUAUUAUAUGAAGUGUUAAAGGGACUUAUUUAAGAAAAAUAAGAUCAAAAUGACAAUAAAUUCAUAACUAUCAACAAUUAAAUCUAAAAAACAAACUGAGCAAACAAGUAGAAUAGAAACAGAAUUGUAGAUAUGGAGAUUAUUUGGAGGGUUACUACAGUAGGGUGAGAAUAGGGGAAAGGUGCAGGGAUUAAGAAGUACAUAUUGGUAGUUUAAAAAAUGGUCAUGGGGAUGUAAAGUACAAUAUAGGAAAUGGAGUAGCCAAAGAACUUAUAUGCAUGACCAUAGGCAUGGAAUAAUG